ACACAUGCAAGUCGAGGGGAAACGACAUCGAAAGCUUGCUUUUGAUGGGCGUCGACCGGCGCACGGGUAAGUAACGCGUAUCCAACCUGCCCACCACUUGGGGAUAACCUUGCGAAAGUAAGACUAAUACCCAAUGACGUCUCUAGAAGACAUCUGAAAGAGAUUAAAGAUUUAUCGGUGAUGGAUGGGGAUGCGUCUGAUUAGCUUGUUGGCGGGGUAACGGCCCACCAAGGCAACGAUCAGUAGGGGUUCUGAGAGGAAGGUCCCCCACAUUGGAACUGAGACACGGUCCAAACUCCUACGGGAGGCAGCAGUGAGGAAUAUUGGUCAAUGGACGAGAGUCUGAACCAGCCAAGUAGCGUGCAGGAUGACGGCCCUAUGGGUUGUAAACUGCUUUUAUAAGGGAAUAAAGUGAGUCUCGUGAGACUUUUUGCAUGUACCUUAUGAAUAAGGACCGGCUAAUUCCGUGCCAGCAGCCGCGGUAAUACGGAAGGUCCGGGCGUUAUCCGGAUUUAUUGGGUUUAAAGGGAGCGUAGGCCGGAGAUUAAGCGUGUUGUGAAAUGUAGACGCUCAACGUCUGCACUGCAGCGCGAACUGGUUUCCUUGAGUACGCACAAAGUGGGCGGAAUUCGUGGUGUAGCGGUGAAAUGCUUAGAUAUCACGAAGAACUCCGAUUGCGAAGGCAGCUCACUGGAGCGCAACUGACGCUGAAGCUCGAAAGUGC
This 724-nucleotide ribosomal RNA is filed under the name uncultured bacterium. Its description in RNAcentral is "bacterial SSU rRNA". It matches the Rfam family "Bacterial small subunit ribosomal RNA", at positions 51 to 762 of the family's 1533-position model. The record is from RNAcentral.